UGUCGUGGAAGGAUCAGAAUUUGUUGGUAACAUUUGUAAGAUGUUUAAUAUUCAUCAAAUGUGUGCAAGUUACUUCCCAUCAGAAUGGUAUUUUUGUGUAAUUCUGAUGUGAGGUUGCAGUUAUCUGUUCUAUGUCAAAACUAAGUUGCCUGGGCCGCUGAGAGGGGAGAGGUCAAAGUGUCAUCAUGUGUAAACAUAUCUUUUACUCCCUACUUUUCUCAUGGGGGGGAAAGGAGGGUGGAAUCAUCCUAUGCUCCCUCUUUGUUGACCUGUAGGGUCACUCUCCUAUCCGUGAGUUUGUCCAGGAGUUUGUAUUUAGAGUGGGUUGUAUAUAAAUGACAAUUUGAUAUAUGCCUGUUGAUAUGGAGGAUUGGUUUAUGAUUCUGGGGUUUGGGAAAGGAGACAAAGCUGAACGAUGAGUUAUGUCUAUGCUGUCUGACUAUGUGUGUCUUUGCUAUUAAAGGAACUCAGUUGCAUUGUAAGGGAACUCUCAGAGAAUUCACUGGGGAGACACUGAAUUUAUCUGAGAGUCACAGGAUUGUGAUAAGAGCUCAUAUAAUUAAAGAUGGACUUUUAUAACUAACUCUGACGUGUGUGUGGUUUGCUCCCAUGAUUUGGUAAAUAGAGGAAAUUUCCACGACAUUUGGCGGAGGAGGGGAUGUGAAUCUUCACUCGGUGACCGUUCCUAUGAUCUAGGUAAAUAAAUCGUGCACGAGGGAUCCCCUAAACUUGGGAUCUCAGGGAGAACCACACUUCGGGAACGAAGCAGAUGGACCAACCUUUGAUCUAAGAGGAAGCGAGCCGAGUGGAUUCCACAUCUCGAACUGAGUUUUUUUUUUUAAAGAAAAAGGUCUAAUUUCUUGAUCCUUGGCUCUACGAUGGAGUUGACAGUGAGAUGGGGAGUAUAAAACCAAUUUGAAAGAAUAGUUUCAAUAGAAUGUUUUGAUAUUCUCUGUGAAAUAUGUUUAGAUAUGUGUGUUAAGAAUAAUUGGUAAAAGUAAUCAUUUAUCAUGUAGUUAAUGAACUGAACUAAACUGUUGUUCUGAUCUGUUCUUUCGAGGUCAUCAUGAAAAGUGACAGACGGUAUCUUAAUGCAUGGAAGAGAUCAUUUGGACCGAAUGGUGUGUGUACCUCAAAACCCCCUCUACCUGGCUGAAGAAAAGAGACAAAGGCAUUGAAGGAGGCUUUCCAAACCACUUCUACCGAGAGAAAAGAACCAAGCCAGAAAUUGGUGUACAGUAUCAGAUCUAAGCUAUCAACUGCUUUUCUUUCAUGGUUCUGUCAUACUGUGAUGAGUCCACUUGGAGUGAUCAUGGAGAAAGAUCUGUUCUAACAUUUUCUUGUGAUGCUGGUAUAUUGGUUGACGAAUGGACAAGACAUGAGUGGUAAAGAUGAGACAUUGAAAUUGGGACAUUAUCAUGGGCUGUCCAUUUUGAACUGUAAAGCUAUCUGAAGAUGCCAGAAGAUGCCGUGCCUGUGUAAGGGGGGUUUAAUCAAACUGUGCCAUUAAAAUUGUUUAUACUUUUGUGGUAUCAGAUUGAUUGAAGAGGUCUACACCAUGUAAAUUGUAGUAAUUUAGAUUAAGAAUAAAUUGAGAUACUGAUCUGUAUUAAAAUCAUGAUUAAAAAAAGUUAAUAGUAGAAUUAUGGGAUAAUUAUACUGUAUGUAAAUCUGCUAAUAUUGAUGUGUGUUAAAUUGACGUUUUUACUUUAAGUGAUAAUGAUCCAUUUGAAUCACUGAGGAAUGUUGGAUAAAUAGUUGGGUUGUUACUUAUGAUUUGGAAUAUGAAUGAUUUCACUGCCCUAUUCUCUAUUCCUGAGUAUAUUUCUGAGCAUGAGGACUUAGAGGGAUGUCUGUUCUAUAUGUUGUGAGGAGGCCUGUGUUUAGACACUGUUUCUCAUGUAAUUUAAAGAGCAUUUAUGUUAUGUUUUUAUUUUUCCUCAAAUGGAUUAUUCUGUGUUAUUAAACAUGUGCAAGGUUGUCUUGUAGAAUAAAGGUUGUAAUCUUAAUUUCAGAAGGGAGAAAGUUUACCUAUAAGCUAAGGUAUUUGACAUUAAGGGGAUUUGAAUUUUAAAAUAUUGAGUAUGUAAUUAAUAUUCUGAUUCUUCAAAAGGGACUUAGUCCCUUGAGAGGGGGAAUGUCGUGGAAGGAUCAGAAUUUGUUGGUAACAUUUGUAAGAUGUUUAAUAUUCAUCAAAUGUGUGCAAGUUACUUCCCAUCAGAAUGGUAUUUUUGUGUAAUUCUGAUGUGAGGUUGCAGUUAUCUGUUCUAUGUCAAAACUAAGUUGCCUGGGCCGCUGAGAGGGGAGAGGUCAAAGUGUCAUCAUGUGUAAACAUAUCUUUUACUCCCUACUUUUCUCAUGGGGGGGAAAGGAGGGUGGAAUCAUUCUAUGCUCCCUCUUUGUUGACCUGUAGGGUCACUCUCCUAUCCGUGAGUUUGUCCAGGAGUUUGUAUUUAGAGUGGGUUGUAUAUAAAUGACAAUUUGAUAUAUGCCUGUUAAUAUGGAGGAUUGGUUUAUGAUUCUGGGGUUUGGGAAAGGAGACAAAGCUGAACGAUGAGUUAUGUCUAUGCUGUCUGACUAUGUGUGUCUUUGCUAUUAAAGGAACUCAGUUGCAUUGUAAGGGAACUCUCAGAGAAUUCACUGGGGAGACACUGAAUUUAUCUGAGAGUCACAGGAUUGUGAUAAGAGCUCAUAUAAUUAAAGAUGGACUUUUAUAACUAA
Molecule: long non-coding RNA, 2721 nt
Organism: Oncorhynchus tshawytscha (Chinook salmon)
Lineage: Eukaryota; Metazoa; Chordata; Actinopteri; Salmoniformes; Salmonidae
Source: Ensembl